RNAcentral lists this ribosomal RNA (2204 nucleotides) under anaerobic digester metagenome. RNAcentral's name for it is "bacterial LSU rRNA". The stretch from base 1314 to 2204 matches the Rfam family "Bacterial large subunit ribosomal RNA". The record is from RNAcentral.
CGCAUGUACAAAUAGGAUAUGAAUGGCUAAAAGAUCACUAUGGUGAAGGGAUUAUUUCUGCUGGAGCCCGCAACCAUCAUGGCAACGAGCCCGAAACAUGGGAAUCCAAUAUCAGCCUCAUCAUUUAUGAGGCCGAUAAUUGCUCGGCAGCGGAAAGAAAAAAAUAUGAUCCUCAAAAUGACAAGGGGAAAGAAUGGCAUCGCAAGAUUCAACUUGCCAAUGUUUUUUCCCGGAUUCGUGAUCCUGUAAGGGUUAAAGAUGGCUCAUUUUUCCCCUCUAUGAGUUAUUAUCCAUUGGGUGUUCUUGGGGAAUGGAUCGAGCCUCUUGGAGAAGAGGGGGCUAACGACAAAGACGCGUAUCGCCGACUCUGGGCUGGAUUUUCACGCGAAUUCGAUAUCCUGAAGCGGAAGUCAUGUCAUUAUAACGUUGAAGCCAUUGCCCAUCUCCUAGAAAAAUAUACAUCUUUUAUCCCUGCCAUCACCCUGAAGGUUUAUGGUGGGGAUGAUGCAGCCUCUUAUCGUAAACAUCCCGACAUAUCCCUUUUCGAUCACCUGAAAAUAACCGCCGCGACAGCAUCUUGUCUCUAUGACUAUUAUGCUGCAAGGUAUCAAUCAAAAUUCAAUGAAAACGUGCUGAAAGAUGAAAUCACCAACUGGGAAACAAGCGGUGAUACAAACUCCGCACCCCUGCUUUUGAUUGGCGGCGACAUAUCCGGAGUCCAGAACUUCAUUUAUACGAUAUCCUCGAAAGGUGCUCUCAAAUCUCUCAAAGGACGAUCUUUCUAUCUGGAGCUUUUGAUUGAACAUACGGUGGAUAUGUUGCUCGAAGGGUUCGAUCAAACUCGGUGCAACAUCAUCUUUACCGGCGGAGGUCAUUUUUACCUCCUGGCUCCCAAUAGCGAAACGGCUCAGAAAACCGUCGCGUUUGUGCGUUCCAGGAUCAACGAUUAUCUAUUCAAGUCCUUCAAUGCUUCUCUUCAAAUGCACAUCGAUUUCGUGCCGUUCUUAAAGCAGAACUUCUCUGACGCAUCCGGCCCUUGGAGAGAGCUCGGCAGGAAAAUAGAAAGCUCGAAGCAGCGCAAAUGGGAGCACCACUUGGAAGACCUUCUGGACGAACCGGCCAUGCCGGAAGAAAGCUGCCUUACCAGAAACUGCGAAAUCUGCGGCAGAGAAGACCAGCCGCUCAACCCUCUAUCGGAUGACAAAUCCGAACUCCUUUCUUGCCAAUAUUGCCGGGAGCAGUACCUCCUGGGAAGCAGUCUUCAGGCGGCGGCACGAAAGAAAAACCGUGUGGUGAUCUAUAGAAUGAACGAUCGCCCAGCUGGUAAGAAUGACAUCUGCAUCAAUGACUGCUUUUAUCACAUUGGCGAGUCAUACAAAGACGAUGUGGGCAAAAAUGCUUGGGUAGGUCUGUGUAGGAUAGGUGGGAGACUUUGAAGCCGGGACGCUAGUUUCGGUGGAGUCGACCUUGAAAUACCACCCUGAUCUGCUCGGGAUACUAACCUGCUCCCGUUAUCCGGGAGAGGGACACUGUCUGGUGGGUAGUUUGACUGGGGCGGUCGCCUCCCAAAAUGUAACGGAGGCGCGCAAUGGUUCCCUCAGGCUGAUUGGAAACCAGCCGUCGAGUGUAAAGGCAUAAGGGAGCCUGACUGCGAGAGGGACACCUCAAGCAGGUGCGAAAGCAGGUCUUAGUGAUCCGGUGGUUCCGAAUGGAAGGGCCAUCGCUCAACGGAUAAAAGGUACCCCGGGGAUAACAGGCUUAUCUCCCCCAAGAGUUCACAUCGACGGGGAGGUUUGGCACCUCGAUGUCGGCUCAUCGCAUCCUGGGGCUGGAGCAGGUCCCAAGGGUAUGGCUGUUCGCCAUUUAAAGCGGUACGCGAGCUGGGUUUAGAACGUCGUGAGACAGUUCGGUCCCUAUCCUCCGUGGGCGGAGGAGAUUUGAGAGAAGCUGUCCCUAGUACGAGAGGACCGGGAUGGACGAACCUCUGGUGCUCCUGUUGUCGUGCCAACGGCAUAGCAGGGUAGCUACGUUCGGAACGGAUAACCGCUGAAAGCAUCUAAGUGGGAAGCCGUUCUCAAGAUUAGAUCUCCCUUCCGCUUCGUGCGGACUGAAGGCCUCCUGAAGACUACAGGAUUGAUAGGCUGGGUGUGUAAGCGCAGCAAUGCGUUGAGCUAACCAGUACUAAUCGGCCGUGAGGCUUGACC